This 239-nucleotide ribosomal RNA is filed under the name uncultured bacterium. RNAcentral describes it as "partial 16S ribosomal RNA". It matches the Rfam family "Bacterial small subunit ribosomal RNA", at positions 118 to 354 of the family's 1533-position model. The record is from RNAcentral.
UGAGCAAUCUGCCCUUCUCUUCGGAAUAAGCGUUGGAAACGACGUCUAAUGCCGAAUACGACCUCCUUUCGCAUGAUCGGAGGUGGAAAGCUCCGGCGGAGAAGGAUGAGUUCGCGGCCUAUCAGCUAGUUGGUGUGGUAAUGGCCCACCAAGGCGACGACGGGUAGCCGGCCUGAGAGGGUGACCCGGCCACACGUGGGACUGAGACACGGCCCAGACCUCCGUACGGGAGCAGCAGG